RNAcentral lists this transfer RNA (73 nucleotides) under Prevotellaceae bacterium. Its description in RNAcentral is "tRNA-Lys". It matches the Rfam family "tRNA". Rfam says of the family: Transfer RNA (tRNA) molecules are approximately 80 nucleotides in length. Their secondary structure includes four short double-helical elements and three loops (D, anti-codon, and T loops). The record is from RNAcentral. Lineage: Bacteria; Pseudomonadati; Bacteroidota; Bacteroidia; Bacteroidales; Prevotellaceae.
GACUUCGUAGCUCAGAUGGUAGAGCAAAUGACUCUUAAUCAUUGGGUCGAGGGUUCGAUCCCCUCCGAGGUCA